GUACACGCUGUGACUAGCAUAUCAAUAAGCGGAGGAAAAGAAACUAAUUAGGAUUCCCUCAGUAACGGCGAGUGAAGCGGGAAGAGCUCAAAUUUGAAAUCUUCAAGGUUCUACCUUGACGAAUUGUAGUUUAAAGAAGUGUUUUCUGUUGGAGUUUUGGUAAAAGUUCUUUGGAAUAGGACAUCAUAGAGGGUGAGAAUCCCGUAUUUGACCAUUAUUUCCAGCUUUGUGAUACACUUUCAAAGAGUCGGAUUGUUUGGGAAUGCAGUCCAAAAUGGGUGGUAAAUUUCAUCUAAAGCUAAAUAUUGGCGAGAGACCGAUAGCGAACAAGUACCGUGAGGGAAAGAUGAAAAGAACUUUGAAAAGAGAGUUAAACAGUACGUGAAAUUGUCAAAAGGGAAGCGUUUGACACCAGUGUUGUUUUCUCGAAAAUCAAUUAAAAAAGGCAGGAUUUUGUGUUGUAUUGACUUUAUCAGCUUUCUGCACUCUUUUCUUGUCUUUUUUAAUGCACUUUUCGUUUAACAAGUCAACAUCAAUUUCUUUUGUUGUAAAAGGGUCAUUGGAAGGUGGCUUGCUUUUCGGAGAAAGUGUUUAUAGCCUUUGAUCUCUGCAAUCGGAGAGACUGAGGUCUGCAGCGUAGAUCCUUCGGGGUUAGAUACAUUUGUGCUAAGUUAUAGCCUUUCAUAGACAACUUGUUGACUAUGAUCAGUCAUGUAGCUUACUCGCUUAUGCUAUUUUACCUACGCUUAGGAUGUUGAAGACUCUACAGAGAUA
Molecule: ribosomal RNA, 774 nt
Filed under: uncultured Neocallimastigales
Lineage: Eukaryota; Fungi; Neocallimastigomycota; Neocallimastigomycetes; Neocallimastigales
Description: partial large subunit ribosomal RNA
Rfam family: Eukaryotic large subunit ribosomal RNA
Source: RNAcentral